CAUGCGAGUCAUUGUAGCAAUACAAGGCGGACGGCUCAGUAACACGUAGUCAACCUAACCUAUGGACGUGGAUAACCUCGGGAAACUGAGAAUAAACCACGAUAGAUCAUGAUGCCUGGAAUGGCUUAUGGUUCAAACAAUUUAUUGCCAUAGGAUGGGACUGCGGCCUAUCAGCUUGUUGGUGAGGUAAUGGCCCACCAAGGCUAUAACAGGUACGGGCUCUGAGAGGAGAAGCCCGGAGAUGGGUACUGAGACACGGACCCAGGCCCUAUGGGGCGCAGCAGGCGAGAAACCUUAGCAAUGUGCGAAAGCACGACUAGGUUAAUCCGAGUGGUUCCUGCUAAAGGAACCUUUUGUCAGUCGUAAAACCACAGACGAAUAAGGGGUGGGCAAGUCUGGUGUCAGCCGCCGCGGUAAUACCAGCACCUCGAGUGGCCAGGAGGUUUAUUGGGCCUAAAGCAUCCGUAGCCGGCUAUGCAAGUCUCCGGUUAAAUCCAACUGCUCAACAGAUGGGCUGCCGGAGAUACUACAUAGCUAGGGAGCGGGAGAGGCAGACGGUAUUCGGUGGGUAGGGGUAAAAUCCACUGAUCCAUCGAGGACCACCAGUGGCGAAGGCGGUCUGCCAGAACGCGUUCGACGGUGAGGGAUGAAAGCUGGGGGAGCAAACCGGAUUAGAUACCCGGGUAGUCCCAGCUGUAAACGAUGCAAACUCGGUGAUGCGUUGGCUUAUGGCCAACGCAGUGCCGCAGGGAAGCCGUAAAGUUUGCCGCCUGGGAAGUACGGACGCAAGUCUGAAACUUAAAGGAAUUGGCGGGGGAGCACCACAAGGGGUGAAGCCUGCGGUUUAAUUGGAUUCAACGCCGG
RNAcentral lists this ribosomal RNA (864 nucleotides) under uncultured archaeon. RNAcentral's name for it is "bacterial SSU rRNA". It matches the Rfam family "Archaeal small subunit ribosomal RNA", at positions 50 to 921 of the family's 1478-position model. The record is from RNAcentral.